GCCUUAGCUGUACCCCCAGAGUGCGCGCCCGUCCGCAUGAAUGGACUGCCCUGAUUGUAAAUGUUUUGCUUCAUCAAAGGGCCAUUGCUCAGCAAAACCUUUAUUUUGCCUGCUGACCUUGCUGGUCAGGCUGCAUCCCUCAAGAUGCUCUUGAUUGUUGCAGUUCAAAUUUAUUGUAUUGAUUCCAAUUUAAGUGAUGUUUAAGGGCUCUGUUGUGCCCCCAUGUUUUUCCUGAGUUGGUUCACCUGUGGGUUUUACCCUCCCUCCAAACUGUCCCUCGUGCCCUUCCCCACCCCUUGUUCCAGCUCUUUCCCUGCCUGUCAAGGCAACCCAGCCCCUUGGUUCCUGAACCUUUGGGCCAAUCCCUGACUGCAACACCCCUUUGGAAUUCCCCUACCCCUGGAAGCCCCAUUGGCCCUUGUGACCCAUCCUCUCCACCCUCCUACCCCAAUUGGCCCCAGACACUUGAUGUAAUCCCCUCACUCCUCUCCUGAGGAUUCCCUAUUGGUUCAUUGUUUGCAUCCUCCCCAUGACUUGUAUGUGUACAAAACCCCUUGGGCAGUACAGCUAGGGGCUUCUCAUCCUGUUCUCUUCACCUGGACUAAGGUGUUCCUUGCGGAACCUGAAGACAAGGAUCCUCCUCCUUUCUCCUGUGCCUCGUCCCUGUCGUGGCUUGUGUCUGGCACUGGAGAGCAAGUGGCACUAAAGGUUCUGCCUCUGGUAAAUCCCCAUAGCGAGGCAGUUCCCGACUCCUGCCAUAGUGCCGGAGUUCUAAGAGCUAGCCCAGGUUCCAGCACUCACUUCACUAAUGUACCGAAUGCCCCUUCUUCAGAGCCUGCUCUGGUGCUCUGCCAUCUCACACAGCAGAGUGUGAUUCACAUACUGCAGCCCAGAGUUAGGUUGUUGCAACAUUGAAAUGGGUGUGGUUGGCAGGAUGGCUGGGCAUAAAUCACUACAGAACUAAAGCAAAUGUGUGCACUGUCCCAGGCUGGACUUGAAUAGACACAGGAAUUGUGGAAAGAUGAGGACAAGAUAGCAGAGAACAAUGGAAAAACCAGCUAUAAAGAAAAUGAGGACAUGCUAAAGGAGUUAUUUGUGCACAUUUGGGGGUAUAUUUUCUUGGGUGCAAAGUAAAACCAAAAGCUUCUAAAUGCCGAAAUGGGGAGAACUGUGUAUGGUAAAUAGGUAUGAUUCAUGAUGACAAAAUUGAAAGAGUAAUCAAUACUGAUACAGUAAUAUUUGGAAAUAAUAAAAAAGUUAAAGUUGUUCCCCCCUCUCCCACCCACUUCUCCUGCAGAUGUUCAGAACAGGAGGAAGCAAGAGAUAACUAUGACUAAAUUUAGUUGGAAUAGAGGAGAAUUUGGUUGGACACCAGGGAAAUGUUGAUUAUAUGAGAUCCACUGCUUUAAUGUUAGAACACAAUAUUGGCUUAUACAGUACCAGCUGGGUGCGCAUGUGUAAUCCAAAAGGUGAACUACAGGACAUGGAGGAAGAGGAGAGGCCUUCCUCAAAGAAGAUCCCCAAAGAGUGGUACAAUGUGGAAGGGGCUAACAGCGGGCCUGUUAGCUAAAGGAGCAAGAAGAAGCUGAGAAGAAAGAAGAAGCUGAUAAGGACCUCUCUCCAAGGCUGUAACCAAGGAGACCAAGAGAAUUGAGGGACUGAAGAAAGAUAAGAACUUCGCAGCUGCAUGAAGUAUAUUUAGAAAGUUAGUUAAGUCACUGUAACUUUUCACCAAUGGUGUUAUGUUGAUUUAUUGUAUCCAAUAGUUAGGGUAGAAGAAGCAUAAACAAUUAAAAAGUGUAUAAAAGGUCAGCCAUGUUCAAUAAUAAAGUGUUGCCAUCUGAAACUGCUUGUGAUCCCUGCUUUGUGUCGUGACCGCCUCGACAACGACAUUUGGUGAUCCCUGACGUGAUACAAGACCCUUAACGAGAUACUCGGGAUCCUAGCAAUUGGCAACCGUGACCCACUGGGACGUAGUGGGGGAGGCGGCGUUGGUGUAGCUGAGAGUGGCCGGUGAAAGCCACAGGGAGGUCCGGACCUGAUUUUCUCCUAUCAAGACACCUGGAAUUAGUUUUUAAAGCAGCUCCUGGAACAAGGCAGGAUGACAGUCAUCAUGUCUUUGCCUAGAGUUGUACAAGAUCUCCAGUCGAAGGUAGCUCAAUAUAGUAUUAAUUCCUCUGAGGUAAUGUAAUUAAUACGUGUAAUCAAUAGAUACCUCUGUUGGUGUCCAAUUGUUUAUUUUGAGAGACCAUGAAAUACCAUGUGGAAUACUGUGUCAAUGGAGUGAUAAUUGGGAAGAUCAACUGCAUAUUUUGGAAUGGAUAUUUUUGUCUUUCAGAUCUCGGAAAACAGCUCCAGGACUUUAUGAGCUUUUUGCAGAUAUUAUCAUCAAGGGCCGCAGGCGUUGUCAUGAAAUUUUGGGACACGACCCUGUGACCAUUGUGAUACCUGUGCAACAGUGGUAUUUUGAAUGGUGCUUUCAAAAUAAUCAUGAAUUGCAGUCUGCCUUGUCUUCUUUUACAGGCCAAAUAAAAUACCAUUUACCUUCUCAUCCAAUUUUAAAACUGACCAAGGAGAUUCCUUUUGAAGGAAAACAAAUUUGUUCUCCUGUUCCAGUGGAAGGUGUAACGGUUUUUACGGAUGGAUCCGGGAAAACCGGAAAAGCAGCUGUAGCUUGGAAAAAGGAUGACCACUGGGAAUAUGAGACAAUGAUUCAGCAGGGAUCUCCUCAAUUGGUUGAACUCUGUGCUGUUCUUUUGGCUUUCACUUUAUUUCCUGAUUCUCUAAAUAUAGUCACUGAUUCUAUCUAUGUUGCCAAUUUGGUUAAGCAGUUAGAUCAAGCAGUGUUGUAUAAUAUCCAAGAGAAACCAUUGUUUACCAUGUUAAUGAAGUUAUGGACAGUCAUUGGUGCUCGAAAACAUCCUUACUUUAUCAUGCAUGUUCGCAGCCACACAUCGUUACCAGGAUUUUUUGUUGAAGGCAAUGCCUAUGUAGAUUCUCUAGUAGCUGCUGCUGCAAUCAAAACCAUACCUAAUGUGUUGCAGCAGGCAAUUUUGUCUCAUCAAUUUUUUCAUCAAAGUGCUCGAGCUUUACAGCAGCAAUUUAAAUUGUCUCCUGGUGAAGCGAGAUCAAUUCUUUCUUCCUGUCCUGACUGUCACAUGACUCAUGUCACUCAGUAUUAUGGUACCAACCCUAGAGGUCUUUCCGCUUUAGAGGAAUGGCAGACGGAUGUUACGAAAAUGCCAGAAUUUGGUCGCUUUAAGUAUGUCCAUGUUACGGUUGAUACCUUUUCUCAUGCAAUGAUUGCUUCAGCAUUCACAGGAGAAAAAACUCGUGAUGCUAUUCGUCAUUUUUAUCACGCUUUUUCUUUUCUAGGUGUUCCGUGUCACAUAAAAACAGAUAAUGGCCCAGCAUAUGUUUCACAAAAAAUGCAAGCAUUCUUUCGUGCUUGGGGCAUUGAACAUUCAACAGGUAUUCCACAUGUCCGCACAGGCCAAGCAAUUAUUGAAAGAGCUCACGGUCUUCUUAAACGUCAGGUUCAAAAACAAAAAGGGGGAAUGCAACAGGAAUCACCUCAAGUGAGAUUAGAUAAAGCUGUUUAUGUGUUAAACUUCUUGCGUCCCCUACCUGACUCACAGUUAUCUCCAAUUUUUUACCAUUUUUCUUCUUUGAAUGCUAGGCAACCAGAUCUCCGUAGAAAUGUUAAGGUAUGGGUCAAGGAUUUAAUUACUGGCAUGUGGUCUGGCCCAGUGGAAUUAAUAACCUGGGGAAGAGGUUAUGCUUGUGUUUUAACAGAUAAUGGUCCUCGAUGGGUUCCUGCUCGCUGUGUCAAACCUUAUCUGGAGCGAGCAGGCAGGGACAAGACGGAUGGCUCCGCAGCUGAAGCAGAACGUGCGGAUGACACUGGCUAAGGCUAUAUCUAGAUAUAAGUCAGGAUAUGCAUUUCAUUGCUCUUCAUGUGCUUUCAUAGUAAUUAAAGGGUGUAGUUUUGGUUUAGGCUGACCGAGACAAUGCAGGUUUUUGGAACCUUUUUUCUAGUAUUCCUGCAGCUCCUUUUGAGCACUUUGGGGUGGUUAUAGUUCACGGCUUUAUGGGAUAAAGUAGUUAGGAAAUUUUAAAGCACCUAUAGAUGGAUGAAAGACAGGAAUGAUUGUAUUAAGAAUGGGAAUGUUGAUUUUGUUGAUGGUUGUGAUUGUUGUUUUGUGUUUCCCCUCUCUGCUUGGAUUUUUGCAAAGGGCCCUGCAAAAAUCCAUAGCAGCUGUGUUUAAAAACAAAAAGGGGGAAUUGUGGAAGGGGCUAACAGCGGGCCUGUUAGCUAAAGGAGCAAGAAGAAGCUGAGAAGAAAGAAGAAGCUGAUAAGGACCUCUCUCCAAGGCUGUAACCAAGGAGACCAAGAGAAUUGAGGGACUGAAGAAAGAUAAGAACUUCGCAGCUGCAUGAAGUAUAUUUAGAAAGUUAGUUAAGUCACUGUAACUUUUCACCAAUGGUGUUAUGUUGAUUUAUUGUAUCCAAUAGUUAGGGUAGAAGAAGCAUAAACAAUUAAAAAGUGUAUAAAAGGUCAGCCAUGUUCAAUAAUAAAGUGUUGCCAUCUGAAA
Passer domesticus (house sparrow) is the source of this 4595-nucleotide long non-coding RNA. RefSeq lists it as uncharacterized. The transcript has 2 exons. Lineage: Eukaryota; Metazoa; Chordata; Aves; Passeriformes; Passeridae. The record is from RefSeq and is a predicted model, not a curated record.